AUGCCCAGCCAAAGAGAACAGGGAAGAGCACGCUUGCCAGGGCCACAGGGGAGGCCCAUGUGGGUGACAGGACUGCUGCACACGGGGACGAUGCUGUACACGGGACGAUGCUGUACACGGGGACAAUGCUGUACACGGGACAAUGCUGUACACGGGGACGAUGCUGUACACGGGGACGAUGCUGUACACGGGGACGAUGCUGUACACGGGGGCGAUGCUGUACACGGGACAAUGCUGUACACGGGGACGAUGCUGUACACGGGGAUGAUGCUGCACACGGGGACGAUGCUGUACACGGGACAAUGCUGUACACGGGGACGAUGCUGUACACGGGACAAUGCUGUACACGGGGACAAUGCUGCACACGGGGACAAUGCUGUACACGGAGAUGAUGCUGUACACGGGGACGAUGCUGUACACGGAGAUGAUGCUGUACACGGGACGAUGCUGUACACGGAGAUGAUGCUGUACACGGAGAUGAUGCUGCACACGGGGACGAUGCUGUAUGCAGGGGAGGAUGGGUCCGCUCUACAGGGCUGUGCACGGGGGAUGCAGGCCACUCUGUGUCGUCCAGGCCCGAUGCCAGGAGUGAGCCCCUCGUAACCUUGGACACGGUGUGCCAGGUAGGUUCCCAUGGUAGCAGCGCCCCCUUGGGGGGGAGGGCUGUGCAUGUGUAGGGGAGGGUCCUGCUGGCAGUACUUGUGACUUAGUUUCACUCUGGAACUAAAAGUGCCCUAAAAAGAACGAACAUCCUGGAUGGCUCUAAGAUUCUCAGCCACGUAAAUCCUUCCCACUGGGCACAGCUGUGUGCCCUGGAAACUGAGUGAAUUCUGCUUCGCCACGCACGGCGCCUUCCCUGGGGACUCCUGCUGACCCAGCUGAGGUCCCCGUGCAACACAGGAGGGGGAGCCGGAACAAUGCCCAUGAGACUCACACCACGGCUCUGCGAGCCCGCCCUCCCGGCGUCCCGGCCCUCGGGGACGUAGCUAAACCUCAGCAUCUGAAUCAGCACCUUAGAGAAAUGGAAAACAGCACACGCUUGGGCUCAGGCUGACUGCAGACACGGAACGUUCUCCACUGGGCCACAACGCACCUGUGAGACGUAAGAGCCAAACGCAUGUCAAUGCCGGAGCCACAUCAGCCUCUUUGUGACGAGGGGGUGGGGUGGCACACGUCCUACCCUCCCAGGAGACCCCCUCCUAGGCAAGGCAUCACUUUUCCCCCACAGCUACGGCUGCGAUGGCUUCGAGUGAGCCGCGCCCACGCCCUUCCCAUACAAGGCUGCCACGUGCGCCACGUGACCCCCGGUGACCUUCCCCGGCCUCACCCAAAUGCACUGUGGCAGGGCCGUGAGGCUGCGGGUCCCUGGGGCAGGUGCGGAGAGCCCGCCCAGCUCAGGCACAGGAGGCGCUGUCCCCGCGCAGAGCGACGCACACAGGAGGCAGACGUAGUGAGGGCUGGGGACACCACAGCCCGGCGCCUUGUGAUGCUUUAUUAGCCUACAGCAGGAGACACACGUGUGACCGGCUAGUGCCUGCUCCGAGGGCCACUGUGGGCCUUCGCAGCUGCCCGGGGUGGACGGCGGCUUGGCACACUCAGCCAC
Long non-coding RNA from Oryctolagus cuniculus (rabbit), 1603 nucleotides. Lineage: Eukaryota; Metazoa; Chordata; Mammalia; Lagomorpha; Leporidae. The record is from Ensembl.